Molecule: ribosomal RNA, 427 nt
Filed under: uncultured bacterium
Lineage: Bacteria
Description: partial 16S ribosomal RNA
Rfam family: Bacterial small subunit ribosomal RNA
Source: RNAcentral
GUGAGGAAUCUUCCACAAUGGGCGAAAGCCUGAUGGAGCAACGCCGCGUGAAGGAUGAAGGUCUUCGGAUUGUAAACUUCUUUUAUGAGUGAAGAAUAUGACGGUAACUCAUGAAUAAGCACCGGCUAACUACGUGCCAGCAGCCGCGGUCAUACGUAGGGUGCAAGCAUUAUCCGGAGUGACUGGGCGUAAAGAGUUGCGUAGGCGGUUAUGUAAGCGAAUAGUGAAACCUGGUGGCUCAACCACACAGACUAUUAUUCGAACUGCAUAACUCGAGAAUGGUAGAGGUAACUGGAAUUUCUUGUGUAGGAGUGAAAUCCGUAGAUAUAAGAAGGAACACCAACGGCGUAGGCAGGUUACUGGGCCAUUUCUGACGCUAAGGCACGAAAGCGUGGGGAGCGAACCGGAUUAGAUACCCGUGUAGUCC